AAACCCUUACCGAAAGCAAUUGGAGGGCAAGUCUGGUGCCAGCAGCCGCGGUAAUUCCAGCUCCAAUAGCGUAUAUUAAAGUUGUUGCAGUUAAAAAGCUCGUAGUUGAAGUUCUGGCUGCUUGACCCUCGAGCUCUGUAGCCGAGGGCUCAGCAGUCAUCCGCUUGCAAAUAUAUGUUCGCCUUUAACCGGGCGGCUAUAUGAGUAAGCAUUUUACCUUGAGAAAAACAGAGUGUUCCAGGCAGGUUUGUCCGGAAUGCAUUAGCAUGGAAUAAUAGAAUAUGACUGAAGUCGAUUUAUUGGUUUGAGGCUUUAGUAAUGAUUAAUAGGAACAGUCGGGGGCAUUGGUACUUGUCAGUCAGAGGUGAAAUUCUAGGAUUUGACAAAGACUAACAAAUGCGAAAGCAUUUGCCAAGGAUGUUUUCAUUAAUCAAGAACGAAAGUUAGGGGAUCAAAGACGAUCAGAUACCGUCCUAGUCUUAACUAUAAACUAUACCGACUCGGAUUCAGAUGAGUCAUAAAGUUCAUUUGGGACCGUAGGAGAAAUCAAAGUUUUUGGGUUCUGGGGGAAGUAUGGUCGCAAGGCUGAAACUUAAAGGAAUCGACGGUUUUGCACCACCAUGGAGUGGAGUCUGCGGCUUAAUUUGACUCAACACUGGGAAACUCAUCAGGGCAAGAAGAUUGUAGGAUUGACAGAUUGAGAGUUCUUUCUUGAUUGGUCUAGUGGUGGUGCAUGGCCGUUCUUAGUUGGUGGAGUGAUUUGUCUGGUUAAUUCCGUUAACGAACGAGACCUUAACCUGCUAACUAGUACACCGAUGACAAAUCGGUGAUACUUCUUAGAGGGGCUAUGUGAUGUAAUCACAUGGAAGUUUGAGGCAAUAACAGGUCUGUGAUGCCCUUAGAUGUCCUGAGCUGCACGCGUACUACAAUGGUGCUUUCAUCGAGCUUUUCCUGAUCCGAAAGGAUUUGGGUAAUCUUUUUAGUGAGCACCGUGCUUGGGAUAGAUCUUUGUAAUUAUGGAUCUUGAACUAGGAAUUCCUAGUAAGCACGUGUCAUCAGCACGUGCUGAUUACGUCCCUGCAAAAUGUACACACCGCCCGUCGCUAUUACCGAUUGAGUGUAAAGGUGAACCUUCUCGAUAGGCGCAAGCUUAGAAAUUAAGUAAACCUUCGCACUUAGAGGAAAUAAAAGUCGUAAC
Molecule: ribosomal RNA, 1198 nt
Filed under: metagenome
Description: SSU rRNA
Rfam family: Eukaryotic small subunit ribosomal RNA
Source: RNAcentral